This 394-nucleotide ribosomal RNA is filed under the name uncultured Anaeromyxobacter sp. RNAcentral's name for it is "bacterial SSU rRNA". It matches the Rfam family "Bacterial small subunit ribosomal RNA", at positions 67 to 447 of the family's 1533-position model. Lineage: Bacteria; Pseudomonadati; Myxococcota; Myxococcia; Myxococcales; Anaeromyxobacteraceae. The record is from RNAcentral.
CGAGAAAGCCCGCAAGGGUGAGUACAGCGGCGCACGGGUGCGUAACACGUGGGUAAUCUGCCCUGGAGCCCGGAAUAACUCUCCGAAAGGAGAGCUAAUGCCGGAUGAGCCCACGGGGUCUUAGGACCCUGAGGGAAAAGGUGGCCUCUGUAUACAAGCUAUCACUUCAGGAUGAGCCCGCGGCCCAUCAGCUAGUUGGCGGGGUAAUGGCCCACCAAGGCUACGACGGGUAGCUGGUCUGAGAGGACGAUCAGCCACACUGGAACUGAGACACGGUCCAGACUCCUACGGGAGGCAGCAGUGGGGAAUCUUGCGCAAUGGGCGAAAGCCUGACGCAGCAACGCCGCGUGUGUGAUGAAGGUCUUCGGAUCGUAAAGCACUGUCGCGAGGGACG